Molecule: transfer RNA, 72 nt
Filed under: Microcaldota archaeon
Lineage: Archaea; Nanobdellati; Microcaldota
Also listed under: 1 other name
Description: tRNA-His
Rfam family: tRNA
About the family: Transfer RNA (tRNA) molecules are approximately 80 nucleotides in length. Their secondary structure includes four short double-helical elements and three loops (D, anti-codon, and T loops).
Source: RNAcentral
GCCACGGUGAUGUCAAUGGUAGCAUGGGGGCCUGUGGAGCCCCUCGACCGAGUUCGAGUCUCGGCCGUGGCC